AUACUUACCUGGCAAGGGAGAUACCAUGAUCAUGAAGGUGGUCUUCCCAGGGCAAGUCAUAUCCAUUGCACUCCAGAUGUGCUGACCCCUGCAAUGUCCCCAAAUGUGGGAGCUCGACUGCAUAUUUUGUGGUAGUGGGGGACAGUGGUUGCUCUUUUUCCUG
Molecule: small nuclear RNA, 163 nt
Organism: Sorex araneus (European shrew)
Lineage: Eukaryota; Metazoa; Chordata; Mammalia; Eulipotyphla; Soricidae
Gene: U1
Rfam family: U1 spliceosomal RNA
About the family: U1 is a small nuclear RNA (snRNA) component of the spliceosome (involved in pre-mRNA splicing). Its 5' end forms complementary base pairs with the 5' splice junction, thus defining the 5' donor site of an intron. There are significant differences in sequence and secondary structure between metazoan and yeast U1 snRNAs, the latter being much longer (568 nucleotides as compared to 164 nucleotides in human).
Source: Ensembl